Molecule: ribosomal RNA, 465 nt
Filed under: Vreelandella stevensii
Lineage: Bacteria; Pseudomonadati; Pseudomonadota; Gammaproteobacteria; Oceanospirillales; Halomonadaceae
Description: partial 16S ribosomal RNA
Rfam family: Bacterial small subunit ribosomal RNA
Source: RNAcentral
CCUACGGGAGGCAGCAGUGGGGAAUAUUGGACAAUGGGGGCAACCCUGAUCCAGCCAUGCCGCGUGUGUGAAGAAGGCCCUCGGGUUGUAAAGCACUUUCAGUGAGGAAGAACGCCUGGUGGUUAAUACCCAUCAGGAAAGACAUCACUCACAGAAGAAGCACCGGCUAACUCCGUGCCAGCAGCCGCGGUAAUACGGAGGGUGCGAGCGUUAAUCGGAAUUACUGGGCGUAAAGCGCGCGUAGGUGGCUUGAUAAGCCGGUUGUGAAAGCCCCGGGCUCAACCUGGGAACGGCAUCCGGAACUGUCAAGCUAGAGUGCAGGAGAGGAAGGUGGAAUUCCCGGUGUAGCGGUGAAAUGCGUAGAGAUCGGGAGGAAUACCAGUGGCGAAGGCGGCCUUCUGGACUGACACUGACACUGAGGUGCGAAAGCGUGGGUAGCAAACAGGAUUAGAUACCCGGGUAGUC